GCGACCCCAGGACGGGCGAGGCCACCCGCCGAUUUAAGCAUAUCAAUAAGCGGAGGAGAGAACUUACGAGAUCCCCUAGUACGC
Molecule: ribosomal RNA, 84 nt
Filed under: Dichaea sp. SRR-2011
Lineage: Eukaryota; Viridiplantae; Streptophyta; Magnoliopsida; Asparagales; Orchidaceae
Description: partial 26S ribosomal RNA
Source: RNAcentral